This 292-nucleotide ribosomal RNA is filed under the name uncultured bacterium. RNAcentral describes it as "partial 16S ribosomal RNA". The record is from RNAcentral.
GGACUACCCGGGUUUCUAAUCCUGUUUGCUCCCCUAGCUUUCGCAGAUCAGCGUCAGUGGCGACCCAGAAGCCUGCUUUCGCCUUAGGUGUUCCUCCCGAUCUCUACGCAUUUCACCGCUACACCGGGAGUUCCAGCUUCCUCUGUCGCACUCGAGCACGGUAGUUUCCCUUGACCUCUCCCAGUUGAGCCGGGAGCUUUCACAAGAGACUUACCGCACCGCCUACCCGCACUUUACGCCUAGUGAUUCCGAGUAACGCUUGCCACCUACGUAUUACCGCGGCGGCUGGCAC